This 497-nucleotide ribosomal RNA is filed under the name uncultured bacterium. RNAcentral describes it as "partial 16S ribosomal RNA". It matches the Rfam family "Bacterial small subunit ribosomal RNA", at positions 28 to 507 of the family's 1533-position model. The record is from RNAcentral.
GAUGAACGCUGGCGGCGUGCCUAAUACAUGCAAGUCGAGCGAACAGAUGAGGAGCUUGCUCCUCUGACGUUAGCGGCGGACGGGUGAGUAACACGUGGAUAACCUACCUAUAAGACUGGGAUAACUUCGGGAAACCGGAGCUAAUACCGGAUAAUAUAUUGAACCGCAUGGUUCAAUAGUGAAAGACGGUUUUGCUGUCACUUAUAGAUGGAUCCGCGCCGCAUUAGCUAGUUGGUAAGUUAACGGCUUACCAAGGCAACGAUGCGUAGCCGACCUGAGAGGGGGAUCGGCCACACUGGAACUGGGACACGGUCCAGACUCCUACGGGAGGCAGCAGUAGGGAAUCUUCCGCAAUGGGCGAAAGCCUGACGGAGCAACGCCGCGUGAGUGAUGAAGGUCUUCGGAUCGUAAAACUCUGUUAUUAGGGAAGAACAAAUGUGUAAGUAACUAUGCACGUCUUGACGGUACCUAAUCAGAAAGCCACGGCUAACUACGUG